CGAAAAUGGUUGAAUUGGUUCCAA
Molecule: non-coding RNA, 24 nt
Filed under: Arabidopsis thaliana (thale cress)
Lineage: Eukaryota; Viridiplantae; Streptophyta; Magnoliopsida; Brassicales; Brassicaceae
Source: RNAcentral